GGAAGCGUGGCAGAGCGGCCGAAUGCAGACGCCUUGAAAGCGAGCGUGGAGAAAUCCACCUUCGCCGAGAGCCCCGCCGCUUCCG
Molecule: transfer RNA, 85 nt
Filed under: Amycolatopsis jiangsuensis
Lineage: Bacteria; Bacillati; Actinomycetota; Actinomycetes; Pseudonocardiales; Pseudonocardiaceae
Description: tRNA-Ser
Source: RNAcentral